AUUGAACGCUGGCGGCAGGCCUAACACAUGCAAGUCGAGCGAGCGGCGGACGGGUGAGUAAUGUCUGGGAAACUGCCUGUUGUCGGGGGGUAACUCCUGGAAACCGUAGCUAAUCACGCAUACCCUCAGAUGUGCCCAUAUGGGAUUAGCUUGUAGGUUGGGUAAUGGCUCACCUAGGCGACGAUCCCUAGCCGGUCUGAGAGGAUGACCAGCCACACUGGAACUUGGACACGGGCCAGACUCCUACGGGAGGCAGCAGUGGGGAACAUUGGACAAUGGGGGAGAGCCUGAUGCAGCCAUGCCGCGUGUGUGAAGAAGGCCUUCGGGGUGUAAAGAACUUUCAGCGGGGAGGCGUUACCCGCAGAAGAAGCACCGGCUAACUCCGUGCCAGCCGCCGCGGUAAUUC
RNAcentral lists this ribosomal RNA (406 nucleotides) under uncultured bacterium. Its description in RNAcentral is "partial 16S ribosomal RNA". It matches the Rfam family "Bacterial small subunit ribosomal RNA", at positions 30 to 526 of the family's 1533-position model. The record is from RNAcentral.